UACGAAGGGGGCUAGCGUUGCUCGGAAUUACUGGGCGUAAAGGGCGCGUAGGCGGCAGCUGUUAGUCAGGCGUGAAAGUCCUGGGCUCAACCUGGGAACUGCGCUUGAUACGGCAGAGCUAGAGGAUGGAAGAGGCUCGCGGAAUUCCCAGUGUAGAGGUGAAAUUCGUAGAUAUUGGGAAGAACACCGGUGGCGAAGGCGGCGAGCUGGUCCAUUACUGACGGCUGAGGCGCGACAGCGUGGGGAGCAAACAGG
Molecule: ribosomal RNA, 255 nt
Filed under: uncultured bacterium
Lineage: Bacteria
Description: partial 16S ribosomal RNA
Rfam family: Bacterial small subunit ribosomal RNA
Source: RNAcentral